GUACUCGCUUCAACAGCACAUAUACUUAAAUUAGAAUGAUACAAAGAAGAUUAGCAUGGCCCCUGCACAAGGAUAGAAUAAUCUUAGAGAUUUUAGACAUUUUA
Molecule: small nuclear RNA, 104 nt
Organism: Suncus etruscus (white-toothed pygmy shrew)
Lineage: Eukaryota; Metazoa; Chordata; Mammalia; Eulipotyphla; Soricidae
Source: RefSeq, a predicted model, not a curated record